Molecule: long non-coding RNA, 560 nt
Filed under: Marmota monax (woodchuck)
Lineage: Eukaryota; Metazoa; Chordata; Mammalia; Rodentia; Sciuridae
Source: RNAcentral
AGUUACCCCGGUGGGUGUGAGUUGUUGCGUGGGCCCGAGGGAGCUGGGUGGCCCGGUUUGGGAAGUUUUUCAGGCAGGUGCAUGAGCCAUCUUUCUCUGAUAGGGUUUAAGAAAUGUGCAAGAACAGUGGCUGGGAGUCAAGAAACUGGGAGAUCCAGAUCAGACAGAAGGAAGGAAGCGGAUCAAGGAAAGGGUGGAGGGCAAAAGGAAGGAGUUAGGGGGUUUCUCUCAAGCUGGACUUUUUUCUCGGGAUGGGAUCCUUUUGCUAGAGCACUUGGUUUUCCGUUUUCGUCAGUUACUAAUCACACUGUAUUGGAACUGGGUAGAAGAGAAAACGAGGGCAGGAUCACAGCAUUUAAUAAAUCUGAGUGCUGAGUUUUCAAGCGGACGCAUUCCUAACUUAAAAUAUCAAGAGGGUUUGGGAUGAGGAAUAAAAGACGUUUUAAUUUAUGAGAUCAACUACUGAAAUUGGAUAUUUGUUUUUCUCAAGUUUUCCUCUUAUAACGCAUGAUCUUUCUGUCUCUGGGCAUAAGGUUUUAAAACCAUCCUGAGCUAUUUUA